GAUCAUGGCUCAGGACGAACGCUGGCGGCGUGCCUAAUACAUGCAAGUAGAACGCUGAAGGAGGAGCUUGCUUCUCUGGAUGAGUUGCGAACGGGUGAGUAACGCGUAGGUAACCUGCCUGGUAGCGGGGGAUAACUAUUGGAAACGAUAGCUAAUACCGCAUAAUAUUGACUAUUGCAUGAUAGUCAGUUGAAAGGUGCAACUGCACCACUACCAGAUGG
Molecule: ribosomal RNA, 221 nt
Filed under: uncultured bacterium
Lineage: Bacteria
Description: partial 16S ribosomal RNA
Rfam family: Bacterial small subunit ribosomal RNA
Source: RNAcentral